RNAcentral lists this ribosomal RNA (482 nucleotides) under uncultured bacterium. Its description in RNAcentral is "partial 16S ribosomal RNA". It matches the Rfam family "Bacterial small subunit ribosomal RNA", at positions 30 to 507 of the family's 1533-position model. The record is from RNAcentral.
AUUGAACGCUGGCGGCAUGCUUUACACAUGCAAGUCGAACGGUCACAUGCCGCACGGUGCUGACGAGUGGCGACCGGGUGCGUAAUGCUUCCGAACGUGCCCAGUCGCUGUGGAUCUCUACUCGCAAGAGUAGCUAAUACCUCAUACGAUCUAUGGUUGAAAGCGGGGGACUGUAAUGCUUCGCGCGAUUGUUGCUGUCGAUGUCAGAUUAGGUAGUUGGUCAGGUAAAGGCUCACCAAGCCAACGAUCUGUAGCUGGUCUGAGAGGACGACCCGCCACACUGGAACUGAGACACGGCCCAGACUCCUACGGGAGGCAGCAGUAGGGAAUUUUGGGCAAUGGGCGAAAGCCUGAUGCAGCAAUGCCGCGUGCAGGAAGAAGGCCUUCGGAUUGUAAAAUGCUUUUGUACGGAACGAAACGACGCUGAAGAAAACACGGGGCUAAUGACGGUACCGUAAGAAAAAGCACCGGCUAACUACGUG